CGAGUGGGCCAAGCGAUCGCGGACACGGAACGUGUUCGAGGAAAGUCCGAACUCCCCAGAGCACGAUGCUGGAUAACGUCCAGGCGGGGCGACCCGACGGCACAGUGCAACAGAGAAGAGAUUGCCCACCUCCGGCUUGCCGGCGGGCGGGUGAGGGUGAAACGGCGGUGUAAGAGACCACCGGCGGACCGGGCGACCGGGCCGGCCAGGCAAACCCCAUCGGGAGCAAGACCAAGCAAGAGGCGUUUCGGGAAACCGAAACAGGGGCUGCUCGUCCCUUGCCUCGGGUAGGUCGCAGGAGGCGUCCGAGCAAUCGGCGUCCCAGAUAGAUGAUCGCUGGCGCAGCGGAGACGUUGCGCAACAGAAUUCGGCUUAUCGGCCCUCUCGCCGC
This 391-nucleotide RNase P RNA is filed under the name Chloroflexota bacterium. RNAcentral's name for it is "Chloroflexi bacterium (anaerobic digester metagenome) RNase P RNA component class A". It matches the Rfam family "Bacterial RNase P class A". Rfam says of the family: Ribonuclease P (RNase P) is a ubiquitous endoribonuclease, found in archaea, bacteria and eukarya as well as chloroplasts and mitochondria. Its best characterised activity is the generation of mature 5'-ends of tRNAs by cleaving the 5'-leader elements of precursor-tRNAs. Lineage: Bacteria; Bacillati; Chloroflexota. RNAcentral also lists the same sequence under 1 other name. The record is from RNAcentral.